Long non-coding RNA from Mus caroli (Ryukyu mouse), 916 nucleotides. RefSeq lists it as uncharacterized. Lineage: Eukaryota; Metazoa; Chordata; Mammalia; Rodentia; Muridae. The record is from RefSeq and is a predicted model, not a curated record.
UGGAAUCACUUGCCAAGAGAGAAUCUAGUUCCUUGGAUUCGAAGGAGGUAGGUUAAAGCUGUCACUCCAGAGAGGGUGUGAAGACUGAAAAAGCCACACACUUAUUACAAGAUCAUCAUGUCCUUCAGUGUCCCAGUCAGAAAAAACACGUGGCUUUUUCAGAGCUCCUGCUAACCCCGUAGCAAGGGAUUAAAGGUGUGUGUCACCACCACCCAGCUGGACUUUUCUUAACACAAAUUCAAAUAUAUUUUCAAGUUGCCAACAGCGGAGCAUAAACCAAACACUGAACACUUCUAAAUGUGGAUCCCUGGGUGAUCACACAGGCACAGACAUCUGCCUUCGUAGACGUAUGAGUAAUAAGUGCAUUAAGACUUUAUAAGUUGUUAGUUAUGCUACAACAAUCAUAAAAAUCAUAAAAAUAGGAGAAGAAAUAAGAGCAUCAGAAGAUAAGACAAGGCCCUUCAAGUAACAGACACCAUUGUAAUGGACGGAGGACACCUAAAGACAGUCUUGUCAACCUCAAGUUACUCAUACACGUAACAACAGAGGGAUGAACUGUCACCUGACUUGCUGUGAUUCAUCAUAUCCACCCACCUCAAAAAAAUUAAUCCAGAACUCCUCCAGUCAAAAGGAACUGCAGGGACAAAGAGUGAAGCAGCAACUGAGGGAAAGGCCAUCCAGAGACUUCCCCACUUAGGGAUCCAUUUCAUCUGCUGACACCAAACCCAGAUACUAUUGCUGAUGCCUAGAAGUGCUUACUGGCAGAGGGCUGGUAUAGCUGUCCCCUGAGAGGCUCUGCCAGAGCCUUACCAGUACAGAUGUGGAUGUACACAGACAAACAUUGGACCAAGCUUGGGGACCUCAACGGGGAAGUUAGGGCAAGGACUGUAGGUGCUGAAGGAGUUUGCAACCCCAU